Molecule: ribosomal RNA, 370 nt
Filed under: Schistosoma mansoni
Lineage: Eukaryota; Metazoa; Platyhelminthes; Trematoda; Strigeidida; Schistosomatidae
Description: partial 16S ribosomal RNA
Rfam family: Bacterial large subunit ribosomal RNA (bases 14-300)
Source: RNAcentral
AACCCAUUGUUACAUUAUUAGACGGAAAGACCCCAAGAGCUUUUUUUGUGUUAGAUUUGUUUGGGGUAAAUGUAGAUUAUUCAUUUAUUUUUAGAUCCUUCAUGGAUAAAGGAUAAAGUUACCUUGGGGAUAACUGAGUAAAGGGCAGGGAGAGGUCCUAUUGAUCUGUUUAUUACUACCUCGAUGUUGGCUUGUUGAACCUUUUUGGUGUAGAGGCUGGAAAAGGAAGUCUGUUCGACUUUUAAAUCUUCAUGAGUUGAGUUAAGACCGGUGUAAGCCAGGUUGGUUCUUAUCUAUAAUUGGUUCUAGUUAGUACGAAAGGAUUAUUAGGAUACAGUGUUUCUGUACACAUAGGAAUAGAAAGUAUACA